This 140-nucleotide unclassified non-coding RNA is filed under the name fungal sp. RNAcentral describes it as "partial internal transcribed spacer region". The stretch from base 1 to 46 matches the Rfam family "Eukaryotic small subunit ribosomal RNA", at positions 1786 to 1831 of the family's 1831-position model. Lineage: Eukaryota; Fungi. The record is from RNAcentral.
AAGUCGUAACAAGGUUUCCGUAGGUGAACCUGCGGAAGGAUCAUUAAAAAUUUUACUACACACACCGUGCAUUAAACAAUUUGUAAAAACAGUUUUAAUAUUAAUUGAAACAACUUUUAGCAACGGAUCUCUAGGUUCUC